GAGAAAUGGAGAGGCUGCGGGAGAAGUGGUGUGAAGAGAGAUAGGAGAAAUUACAGCAGAGAAAGGGAACAUUUGAUGAUAAGGAAAAGGACAAAGCGAUGCUGAAGUGGCAUCCAGCGUCAGGCUCCAGAGGAGUUAAGGGGCUCUCCGACCAGGAGAAGGGGCUGGUCUCAGAGAGGGUGAGAAGAAUACAGCCAUGGUAACAGCAGAACACAGAAGCGCUGGCAGAGGCAAGUAAGAGGCUGAAUGUGGAAAGUCAACCUCCAAUGUGUUAGACCAGUUAAUGUUACUGGUCACUUUGAGAGACCACAGAAAGGACUUAGCAUCACAAGUCUUUGUGGUAGCUGAGGAGUGCCCCCUACAGUCUGAUAUGCACAGUGCAAGCAGAUGAAGAGGAAAGACGUGAGCUGCAGUAUUUCAGGAUUCUCAAUAAGGCAUCAAUGAAAGAAAGUUACAACAUCACAGAUCUUUCAAUGAUGUGCACAAAAAAAAGUGAACCAGGUGGAUUUCAGAGCUGCAUGAGUAGAAGUAGCAAACAGGCCUGGAGAAUGAGCCCACAUGUCCCUAGCAACAGGUCAGCACCUCCUAUUUUCCUGUUUAAAUUAUAUCAGGACAGGGCCUCAGUGAAAGUUUGAUGUUCUGUGGGCAAUGGAAGAAGGGAAGAGUUUAAACUACAUGCCAAGUAUGCUUCCAGGUGAAAUUGGGCCGUACUGAGGCACGAAAAUAGAGUUGCUUUCAAACAUCAAUAAGGUCCAUUCUUUGGAUUUGAAUAAGAACAAAUUUUGUUUCUCUUAUUUCUGGAAAGUAAAGUGAGGACAGAUAGAUUUUUGAAACAGGUUGUAAGCAAUGGAUCCAUUUUCAUUAUUUCAAAACUUUGCUUUAUUGGAUUCAUACUAGCUUAAAAAUUCAGGUUAUUAAUGCAAAUGUUUAAAAUAGUGUGGUGAUGAGAAUCAAUGUGUAUAUGUUAAAUAAUUGUGCCCUUUUUUAUAUUGGGCAUGAAUAUUACUAAUGGUUCAAUCCUAAGCUGGCUUUUCUUUGCAAAAUGACUAAAUCAUUCUCACAUUCUCAGUACUAAUGAUAUUACUCAGAAUAAUCUCUUAAAAAAAUACUUGUGACUUUUUAAAAGGCCUUUGCCACACAAUAUCUAGUUGCUACUAAUAUGAAUUCAGGAAGCAUGGAGUUAAAGAAGUUGGCUUUUUUUUUCUUAAAUCUGAACAUUGGAAUCAGCAGUUUGCAUUAUUUUAAAAAUGAAUGCUUAGGAUCAGCAAUUUUCUUGUUUUUUUUUUAAAGAUCUUGAGGGUUUUUUUUAUUUAAAGUGGAAAACUACAUUAAGUGCAAGGCAGUCAACAAAGAAGCAGCCAUAAAGCCUAAGUAUUCCUAGAGUUAUAAAAUAUGUCCAUUGUGCCAAUUCCACUGCCAACAAUGAAGUUUUAAGCAUUAAUAUGCCUUCAUUGCAGUUUUAAUGCCUUAAUAUUGACUCUAUAGCUCUUUUGGGUAAUUUUGCUUUCUCUGGUACUUGAAAGGUGAUGAUGUCAGCGUUCUUCGCACUGAUUCAUAUGCAGGUUGAUGAAGCUGAGUUAUUUAUUGAGUUCCAUUAUAUUUUCUAUAAACAUUAGUUCUCAAUAAACAGAGACAUUUAGCCGAGGGUUUAUUUAUUAAAUAGGUACUGUACAGAUGGUUUUGCCACACAUGAUGUGCUGCAGAGGAUAUUACUCAGGAAUAAUCAGCUGUGUUAUAGCUUGGCUAAAUUAAUAAGAUGAUAAUGAUGAAAUUGAUGCUUUUGAGCUAGGCUUGGUAAAUGGUUUUUGCAUAAACAAACUGAUAAAUUUGAGAAGCAAUUACUUGCUUGUCAAAGAUAAAAACACAACAGGGCCCAUUUAUAGUUAGGUCCUAUUUAUUUUUAAAGAUUGUACCAGAUUUUAUGUUUAAUAUGCUGCAAUUAAAAAAUAAUACUUAAAUGAAGGAGAAUAAAAAAACCAACUUUCUGAGUUCUUCCAAUCUGAAGAAACCCCAUUGCUUGAUUAGACAUCAAGAAAACUUUUUUGCUGCAUGUGGAGGGAAUAUAUAUAUAUAUAUCUGAAAAA
Long non-coding RNA from Callithrix jacchus (white-tufted-ear marmoset), 2084 nucleotides. Lineage: Eukaryota; Metazoa; Chordata; Mammalia; Primates; Cebidae. The record is from Ensembl.